CCUACGGGGGGCUGCAGUGGGGUAUUUUGGACAAUGGGCGCAAGCCUGAUCCAGCCAUGCCGCGUGCAGGAUGAAGGCCCUCGGGUUGUAAACUGCUUUUGUACGGAACGAAACGGCCUUUUCUAAUAAAGAGGGCUAAUGACGGUACCGUAAGAAUAAGCACCGGCUAACUACGUGCCAGCAGCCGCGGUAAUACGUAGGGUGCAAGCGUUAAUCGGAAUUACUGGGCGUAAAGCGUGCGCAGGCGGUGAGGUAAGACAGUUGGGAAAUCCCCGGGCGCAACCUGGGAACUGCAUCUGUGACUGCAUCGCUGGAGUACGGCAGAGGGGGAUGGAAUUCCGAGUGUAGCAGUGAAAUGCGUAGAUAUGCGGAGGAACACCGAUGGCGAAGGCAAUCCCCUGGGCCUGUACUGACGCUCAUGCACGAAAGCGUGGGGAGCAAACAGGAUUAGAUACCCCGGUAGUC
Molecule: ribosomal RNA, 465 nt
Filed under: uncultured bacterium
Lineage: Bacteria
Description: bacterial SSU rRNA
Rfam family: Bacterial small subunit ribosomal RNA
Source: RNAcentral